GAUGAACGCUGGCGGCGUGCUUAACACAUUGCAAGUCGAACGAAGCUCUUACGUUGAUUUCUUCGGAAUGAAGUGUAAGAUGACUUAGUGGGCGGACGGGUGAGUAACGCGUGAGGAACCUGCCUUGCAGUGGGGAAUAACAGUUGGAAACGACUGCUAAUACCGCAAUAACGCAAAGAGAUCGCAUGUUUUCUUUGCCAAAGAUUUAUCGCUGUGAGAUGGCCUCGCGUCUGAUUAGCUAGUUGGUGGGGUAACGGCCCACCAAGGCGACGAUCAGUAGCCGGACUGAGAGGUUGAUCGGCCACAUUGGGACUGAGACACGGCCCAGACUCC
RNAcentral lists this ribosomal RNA (333 nucleotides) under uncultured Oscillospira sp. Its description in RNAcentral is "bacterial SSU rRNA". It matches the Rfam family "Bacterial small subunit ribosomal RNA", at positions 28 to 339 of the family's 1533-position model. The record is from RNAcentral. Lineage: Bacteria; Bacillati; Bacillota; Clostridia; Eubacteriales; Oscillospiraceae.